This 569-nucleotide ribosomal RNA is filed under the name uncultured bacterium. Its description in RNAcentral is "bacterial SSU rRNA". It matches the Rfam family "Bacterial small subunit ribosomal RNA", at positions 554 to 1118 of the family's 1533-position model. The record is from RNAcentral.
CUGGGCGUAAAGCGUGCGCAGGCGGUUUUGUAAGACAGGUGUGAAAUCCCCGGGCUUAACCUGGGAACUGCGCUUGUGACUGCAAGACUCGAGUACGGCAGAGGGGGGUGGAAUUCCACGUGUAGCAGUGAAAUGCGUAGAGAUGUGGAGGAAUACCAAUGGCGAAGGCAGCCCCCUGGGAUAAUAUUGACGCUCAUGCACGAAAGCGUGGGGAGCAAACAGGAUUAGAUACCCCGGUAGUCCACGCCCUAAACGAUGUCUACUAGUUGUUGGUGGAGUAAAAUCCAUGAGUAACGCAGCUAACGCGUGAAGUAGACCGCCUGGGGAGUACGGUCGCAAGAUUAAAACUCAAAGGAAUUGUCGGGGGCCCGCACAAGCGGUGGAUUAUGUGGAUUAAUUCGAUGCAACGCGAAAAACCUUACCUGGCCUUGACAUGCCACUAACGAAGCAGAGAUGCAUUAGGUGCCCGUAAGGGAAAGUGGACACAGGUGCUGCAUGGCUGUCGUCAGCUCGUGUCGUGAGAUGUUGGGUUAAGUCCCGCAACGAGCGCAACCCUUGCCAUUAAUUGC